CCCUUAGAUGUCCUGGGCCGCACGCGCGCUACACUGAGUGUCUGAGAUACGAGUCUGCCUGGUCCGGCAAGGUCUAGGUAAUCGCUAAAAGACACAUCAUGCUUGGGAUAGAUUAUUGCAAAUAUUAAUCUUGAACGAGGAAUUCCUAGUAAGCGCAAGUCAACAGCUUGCGUUGAUUACGUCCCUGCCCUUUGUACACACCGCCCGUCGCUACUACUGAUUGGAUGUUUAAGCGAGGUUCUCGAACUGCUAGCGACUUAGCUUCGGUGAGGUCGCAGUGUGGGAAGUGAACCUAGCUUUGGUGCCUAGAGGAAGUAAAAGUCGUAACA
This 329-nucleotide ribosomal RNA is filed under the name uncultured eukaryote. Its description in RNAcentral is "partial 18S ribosomal RNA". It matches the Rfam family "Eukaryotic small subunit ribosomal RNA", at positions 1470 to 1796 of the family's 1831-position model. The record is from RNAcentral.